Molecule: ribosomal RNA, 249 nt
Filed under: uncultured Actinomycetales bacterium
Lineage: Bacteria; Bacillati; Actinomycetota; Actinomycetes; Actinomycetales
Description: partial 16S ribosomal RNA
Rfam family: Bacterial small subunit ribosomal RNA
Source: RNAcentral
CGGAGGUACUCGAGUGGCGAACGGGUGAGUAACACGUGGGUGAUCUGCCCUGCACUCUGGGAUAAGCCUGGGAAACUGGGUCUAAUACCGGAUAGGACCGCACUUUAGUGUGUGUGGUGGAAAGUUUUUUCGGUGUAGGAUGAGCCCGCGGCCUAUCAGCUUGUUGGUGGGGUAAUGGCCUACCAAGGCGGCGACGGGUAGCCGGACUGAGGGGUUGGCCGGCCACAUUGUGACUGAGAUACGGCCCAG